GCCAGACUCCUACGGGAGGCAGCAGUGGGGAAUAUUGGGCAAUGGGCGCAAGCCUGACCCAGCGACGCCGCGUGAGGGAAGACGGUCUUCGGAUUGUAAACCUCUUUCAGCAGGGAAGACAAAAGGACGGUACCUGCAGAAGAAGCCACGGCUAACUACGUGCCAGCAGCCGCGGUAAUACGUAGGUGGCAAGCGUUAUCCGGAAUUACUGGGUGUAAAGGGUGUGUAGGCGGGGCUGCAAGUCGGGUGUCAAAUCUACCGGCUCAACCGGUAGCCGCACUCAAAACUGCAGUUCUUGAGUGAAGUAGAGGCAGGCGGAAUUCCUAGUGUAGCGGUGAAAUGCGUAGAGAUCGGGAGGAACACCAGUGGCGAAGGCGGCCUACUGGGCUUUAACUGACGCUGAAGCACGAAAGCGUGGGUAGCAAACAGGAUUAGAUACCCGUGUAC
This 447-nucleotide ribosomal RNA is filed under the name uncultured bacterium. Its description in RNAcentral is "partial 16S ribosomal RNA". It matches the Rfam family "Bacterial small subunit ribosomal RNA", at positions 330 to 793 of the family's 1533-position model. The record is from RNAcentral.